AUUGAUUCUCGAUAUCUGUUCUUAUCAGUUUAACAUCGGAUACGUCAUCUAUCCGAGGACAAUGUAUUCCAUCAAUUUUUGGAGUGGGAGCUGGAAUAGAAGCUUGCUUUGUGUACUCCAUGCAUUGUUUCCCUGGUCCCUGGGUGUUGAACAGGGUUGAUACA
Molecule: small nuclear RNA, 164 nt
Organism: Ailuropoda melanoleuca (giant panda)
Lineage: Eukaryota; Metazoa; Chordata; Mammalia; Carnivora; Ursidae
Gene: U2
Rfam family: U2 spliceosomal RNA
About the family: U2 is a small nuclear RNA (snRNA) component of the spliceosome (involved in pre-mRNA splicing).
Source: Ensembl